RNAcentral lists this ribosomal RNA (405 nucleotides) under uncultured bacterium. RNAcentral describes it as "bacterial SSU rRNA". It matches the Rfam family "Bacterial small subunit ribosomal RNA", at positions 976 to 1381 of the family's 1533-position model. The record is from RNAcentral.
UAGCCUUGACAUAUUAUAGAAUUCAGUAAAGAUACAGAAGUGCCUUCGGGAGCUAUAUUACAGGUGCUGCACGGCUGUCGUCAGCUCGUGUCGUGAGAUGUUGGGUUAAGUCCCGCAACGAGCGCAACCCUCGUCACUAGUUACUAACGGUUAGGCCGAGGACUCUAGUGAGACUGCCUUCGUAAGGAGGAGGAAGGUGAGGACGACGUCAAGUCAUCAUGGGCCUUACGGCUAGGGCAACACACGUGCUACAAUGGUUAGGACAAUGAGAAGCAAUAUCGCGAGGUGGAGCAAAUCUAUAAACCUAAUCUCAGUUCGGAUUGUAGUCUGCAACUCGACUACAUGAAGCUGGAAUCACUAGUAAUCGUAGAUCAGCUAUGCUACGGUGAAUACGUUCCCGGGUCU